Molecule: ribosomal RNA, 460 nt
Filed under: uncultured bacterium
Lineage: Bacteria
Description: partial 16S ribosomal RNA
Rfam family: Bacterial small subunit ribosomal RNA
Source: RNAcentral
CCUACGGGUGGCAGCAGUGAGGAAUAUUGGUCAAUGGGCGGGAGCCUGAACCAGCCAAGUCGCGUGAGGGAAGACGGUCCUAUGGAUUGUAAACCUCUUUAGGCGGGGAGCAAUGCCGGGCACGCGUGCCCGGCGGGAGAGUACCCGCAGAAUAAGCAUCGGCUAACUCCGUGCCAGCCGCCGCGGUAAUACGGAGGAUGCGAGCGUUAUCCGGAUUUAUUGGGUUUACAGGGUGCGUAUGCGGAUUUUUAAGUCAGCGGUAAAAUGUCCGGGCUCAACCCGGGCCGGCCGUUGAAACUGGGGAUCUUGAGUGGGCGAGAAGUAUGCGGAAUGCGUGGUGUAGCGGUGAAAUGCAUAGAUAUCACGCAGAACUCCGAUUGCGAAGGCAGCAUACCGGCGCCCGACUGACGCUGAGGCACGAAAGCGUGGGGAUCGAACAGGAUUAGAUACCCGUGUAGUC